This 1069-nucleotide long non-coding RNA is filed under the name Varanus komodoensis (Komodo dragon). RNAcentral describes it as "lncRNA (ENSVKKG00000005364.1)". Lineage: Eukaryota; Metazoa; Chordata; Lepidosauria; Squamata; Varanidae. The record is from RNAcentral.
AUGCAUCAAACAAUAGUAGAGGUUCCUAGGGAUUUCCUCUUUCUCCUGUUGCAGGAAAGGGCACAGCCCCAACCAAAUGUUCCCGUGACUACGAACCAUGAGCACAAUAUUGAGGAUCGGCUAAUGGAGAUGCGAAAGACAAUUCAGGGCCUGAAAGCUUCCGCAGAGACUCUUGAGGAUCUGCAGGACACCUUUGACUUCCGUUUUAAGACAUACAAGAUUUUAGGUGAGGAAAUUUGGGGUGGUGGGGAAGUGGAAGAACCACCCUUGGCUGGAAGAAUGAACAAGAUGGAAAGAGGGCAUUUCUCUUCAUAUAUCCUUAAAACAGGUGGGGAGGAGAAAGAUUGGGAUCUGCUAGUGCAGUAGAUAAGCAAGGUUUUCUAAUAACAGCAAUAUAUGUUUCCUCUCCCUGCUACCAAAUUAUACUGCUGGAAGAAAGAAAGGUGGGAUAACCAGGUGUAUAUUGCUCUUUGGAGGGGCUGUGAGCUCAUUCCAUUUCUAGUACUUGAAACAGAUUUAGGGCUCAAGAUUCUUUUUUUCUUUUUAAUUCUAAGUCUUUGCAGCUGCCUGUAGUUCAAGGGUUGGCAAUUGAUGGCCCUCCUGAUGUCUUUUUGACUUAGAACUCUCAUUAGCCCUAGCCAGUAUAGCCAGGGGUGAUGGGAGCUUUGGGCCAAGGCAUUUGGAGGGCCACCCCAGUUGCCAUCCUGGACUAAUUGAGGAAUGUAGGUUUUAAUUGGUGUGUAAAAACCACAACAACCAAGAAGAACCAACUGGAUUCUACAAGACUGAAGAAUCCACCUAGCCUUCAAACAACAAAACAACUUUCCCUCCUUUUUCUUGAUAGCUCUUGCCUACCAGUCCUUCUGAUUUCUUUGUUGACUACCAAACAACAUCUGGGGGAGGGGACGCCUUGCGAGGUUCCUGUUUCCCCAAGUUCAAUCUGUGAGUGCCCCAAACUGCAUCCGGGCAUCCUCCACUGUCCUGGCCCUGAACUCAGGGAGGGCAGCUCCCUAGAUAGGAGAGUCUCCUGUGUCCAAGGAGGUACUGCACACAACACAGAACCCAGAUU